UCCCUGGUAGUCCAGUGGAUAAGACUCUGGGCUCGCAAUGCAGGGGUCCUGGGUUCAAUCCCUGGUCAGAGAA
Molecule: transfer RNA, 73 nt
Organism: Ovis aries (sheep)
Lineage: Eukaryota; Metazoa; Chordata; Mammalia; Artiodactyla; Bovidae
Rfam family: tRNA
About the family: Transfer RNA (tRNA) molecules are approximately 80 nucleotides in length. Their secondary structure includes four short double-helical elements and three loops (D, anti-codon, and T loops).
Source: Rfam